Trachemys scripta elegans is the source of this 2473-nucleotide long non-coding RNA. RefSeq lists it as uncharacterized. The transcript has 3 exons. The record is from RefSeq and is a predicted model, not a curated record. NCBI's taxonomy places the organism in Eukaryota, Metazoa, Chordata, Testudines, Emydidae.
GAAGUGAUUUGCUCAAGGUCACACAGCAGAUGUUCCUUGGAGUAACACGGGUGAUUUAUUAACUUUCAGCCUACUCGUCUUUCUUUUGCUGGGUGUGCACUGCAAACUAGCAAGAAUUUACUCAUACCAAAACUUGGAACCUUUGCAAGGAAGUGACUUGUAUGGAAAAGGAGAAAAAAAAUAAGAUUUAACUUCACCACAUAUAUUUUCACAAGUAUCUUUUAGAAAAUGUCACCUAAUUUUAAAAAGGAGCUUUAGUUUCCAUUCCACAGGUUACUUAAACAGGAAUACUUGAUGUCAGAAUGUCCUCUAUAUGGUAUUGCAUCUGCAUGCUGAAAAAUAAUAUAAAUGGUUAAUGAAUAUUGCACCAUAUCAGUUUCCUGUUCCAGUUGGCUGCCUUGUUAUGUUGGCAGCAAUUCAGGGGCCUGCAGAGCUGCAGGCAUAUGUCUCAUGUUAAAAAGUCUCAUGUUAUAAACACUUCAAUGAAAAUUACCAUCCAGUUUGGAGCCAACUCUGACCAGGUGCUGAAGAGAAAAUAAAUAGGUAACAUAUGAAAGCAGAAUCAAAGUUGGACUUCUAUGGGGAUUAUGUUCUAUGCUACAUUUAAAACGUCAGUUUGAAAUCUGAACUAAAAUAUCUCUGCCCUGGACAAAGAAGUCUAAUUCUUUUACUGUUGAUAUUGACCAGUUUUUCAACUGUGUCUUUUGUUAUAAGACAUCCAACAAAAUGUUUGUAAACAAAUACUGUAUUACUUAUUUCUCAACACUAAUUUAGAGUUAAGCUGAACAAAAAUACAGAUAAAAUUGCCUCCCUGGUGGUCCCCUACAAAAAUUCUCCAGGUAUCCUGAUUAGACAGGAGCAGAGGUUAAUUCUGAGGAUCUCUCCCAUUCUGAAGCCAGAGAAAUCUGAAUUGGACAUUCCACAACUCUCAUUUUCAAAAGCAGAGUGUUAUUUCCUGAUUAUCAUGUAUAACAAGGUUCUAGGGAUUCUACCACAGCUGACAUAGGGUUUGAACCUGCACCAUCCAAGUCAAAAGGAAUUUUUCCAUCAAGCCCUUAAAAAGACCAUAGCGAAAGUUAUUCGGAUCUUAGAAGUCUGUGUGUUCCUGCAGAAAAGGCAGGAGACUGGGAGUCAGGAGUCCUACAUUUUGUUCCUGGCUAAGACACUGACUGAAGCAAGUCACUUCACUGCCUGAGUUUCCCCAUCUGUAACAGUGGGUAUAACACCUAGUUACAAUAUACUGUGAGGUGCAAAUUAAAACUUGUCAAUUGUUUUGAGAUACUUGGGGCAAUAUGAACUCCCAGUUGCUGCACGGCCGUGAGAAGAUGGACUGGAACACCCAGUCAUUGAAAAUGGCAGGAAGCUAAUUUGCAUGAGUUCUUCACCUCUCAUGUAGCACCAUAACUUGGCCAUGAAGCAGCUUUGUUUUACGUCAGAUUCACCAUCUUCUGUGGUUACUUGAUCGCAAAUAUUUUCAGCUGGAUUUUGUCCAAAAUAUGUCAGGUAAAUGAUUGAAAGGUAACAGAAGAUCAUUUUUAUGUUUAGUUUUAUAUGCACACAUUGCAAGGCAGAGAAAGGAGCAUUUUAAGUUUUGGUAAUAUCAGCUGGUGCUGCAGGAGAAAAACAGCAUCCUGAACAGGUGUCUUGCGCCUGAAAAGCAUUUCAAUGCACCUUUGAACAUAGCGAUCUGUUUUUAUUUGGUCCUGCUGUAACGAUUUCAGCACUAUGGCACUGUAGCGAGAUCAGCAAAGGCUGUAUUUUGACAUAAACUAUAAAAAGAGAAAUCAUGCCAAUAAACUCUGUUAUCUCUAUAGGACAUAAGUAGGGUCUACACUGACCAAGAACGAAUCUUUUAGCUACUGAAAAAAAAUUGUUAUAAUCUAUGAAGGGCUUCUGUUUACAAUUUGAUUGUGGCCAGUCUGUCACCAACCAACAUCAUCUUCUAUUUUAAUAAAAUCAUUAUGACAUUCAGAGACAUCACGGCUCCAUGACAAUGACAUCUUUCCAUUCAAAUCACAUCAGGUGGUCUACAGAGAUCCUGCCCAAUGGAGUCUUCAGUGAUUUGCUAUCAUCACAGAGGAACAUUUAUAGCAAGAGGCUUGCGCAAUAGAGUAGAUUCCUGCAAUAAUACUGCCUGCAACUGAGCAUGUCUGGAGCAUAACCCAGUGGAACGAGAUCUUCUUAGUGAUAUAAAUUAAUGUGCAGUCGUCUUGCUUACAUCAGACAGGAAAGUAAUCUUUUACUUUAAAAACAGGGAUUGGAGAAAGCUAAUCUGUAUUUGAGAGAGCAGUGCUCCUGGAAAUUCAAAAUGUUUUGCUGUUUGAUGCUUUGAGGCAUUACCCCACUCCCUGUAACCACGCUAUGAACUUUUAAAAUAAACAGUUUAGUUUAUAAAUCUUAGCUCUGGCCUGGAACAGAUCUGUAUCUAAUAACCCCAUCUAUAGGCAGAUGCCCACACAUGCCUGAAAUCAAU